RNAcentral lists this ribosomal RNA (685 nucleotides) under Pseudomonas sp. Its description in RNAcentral is "bacterial SSU rRNA". It matches the Rfam family "Bacterial small subunit ribosomal RNA", at positions 42 to 720 of the family's 1533-position model. The record is from RNAcentral. Lineage: Bacteria; Pseudomonadati; Pseudomonadota; Gammaproteobacteria; Pseudomonadales; Pseudomonadaceae.
GCAGGCCUAACACAUGCAAGUCGAGCGGUAGAGAGAAGCUUGCUUCUCUUGAGAGCGGCGGACGGGUGAGUAAUGCCUAGGAAUCUGCCUGGUAGUGGGGGAUAACGUUCGGAAACGGACGCUAAUACCGCAUACGUCCUACGGGAGAAAGCAGGGGACCUUCGGGCCUUGCGCUAUCAGAUGAGCCUAGGUCGGAUUAGCUAGUUGGUGAGGUAAUGGCUCACCAAGGCGACGAUCCGUAACUGGUCUGAGAGGAUGAUCAGUCACACUGGAACUGAGACACGGUCCAGACUCCUACGGGAGGCAGCAGUGGGGAAUAUUGGACAAUGGGCGAAAGCCUGAUCCAGCCAUGCCGCGUGUGUGAAGAAGGUCUUCGGAUUGUAAAGCACUUUAAGUUGGGAGGAAGGGUUGUAGAUUAAUACUCUGCAAUUUUGACGUUACCGACAGAAUAAGCACCGGCUAACUCUGUGCCAGCAGCCGCGGUAAUACAGAGGGUGCAAGCGUUAAUCGGAAUUACUGGGCGUAAAGCGCGCGUAGGUGGUUUGUUAAGUUGGAUGUGAAAUCCCCGGGCUCAACCUGGGAACUGCAUUCAAAACUGACUGACUAGAGUAUGGUAGAGGGUGGGUGGGAAUUUCCUGUGUAGCGGUGAAAUGCGUAGAUAUAGGAAGGAACACCAGUGGCGAAG